Heterocephalus glaber (naked mole-rat) is the source of this 5658-nucleotide non-coding RNA. Lineage: Eukaryota; Metazoa; Chordata; Mammalia; Rodentia; Bathyergidae. The record is from RefSeq and is a predicted model, not a curated record.
GGUGGACAGUGUGGUGCCUAAUGUCCCCACUGCCACUGGCAGGCACUCCGUGGCUCUUGUCUGACUGUGUCCAGUCCAUGCUGUGUGGCCCUUGCUCUGGGGCAAGGAGGCUCCUUCUGUUCUCUCUGGGGUCUGGGAGAAUCCCAGCUGGGGCAGCUCCUAGGUCUCAGAUGAGAUGCAAUCGCAGCCCCUGCUACCCGGGAGCAGCCCAAUGCUUUCCCCUCAGGACCCUGCGAGAGGAGGACACCUGAGUGUAGAGGCGGCCUCUGUCCCUGGCUCACCCAGGCAAGCAUGAAGAGUCAGAAUCCAGGUAGGUGUCCGGCUGGCAGAGAGGGGAGGGCGGAGGUGGGAGAGAAGCCACCACAGGGAGUUUAUGGACUAGGACAUGGGUCAUCGAGGGCUCAGGGCCGAGGCCUGAGCUCUGUUUAAAGCUGCAGGAAAAUGGUGCGAGGAGCCCAAGAUGCCCCACAUUCUUGUCUCUGGCCACUGUCUUGGCCAAGUGGGUGCUGUGCAGACCUGGAAACUGUCAGGGAGACCGAGCCCUGCUUCUGGUGUGAGGAAGUUAAACUCCUAUUCAAGCAGCGCCCAGGCAGCAUUGCAAUAGAUGACAGCAUGCCUUGCCCUGCCCAGGGCCUCCUGGAUGUGGUUCUCUGGGCAGGGCAAGGAAUCUGCAUUGAGUGUCCCUGUGAUUCCUUUAGCCACCACCACACGGGGACCACUGCUCUGUCUGACGAAUGACUGCCCCUCCCUCCCUUGCCCCUCAGUCGUUCCCCAGAGGGUGACCCAGGGCCCCGUCUUCUUCCGGAGCACCUGCUCGGUCAUGGCUUGGAUGCAGAUGUCCUCCCGAAGCCUCACGUGCUCAUAGGUGGGGCUUUUGUGAGGUGGCUGGAUCAUGGGCAUGUGAUGCUGGAUCAGGGUGUGCAUGACUAAAUUGUUUUGGCAUAGUUCUGAGUGUGAGCAAUGGAAGCCCCACCCUGUGUGUGGGUGGCACCAACAAAUAGGCUUGUCGCCUGGAGAGACGAAAGGACAGAAAGAAGGCAGGCUGCUGCGCUUCUUGCUGUUGCACUGCCACAGACUGUUUCUCCUCUGCCGUGCCCUCUGCUAUGUCACCCUACCUUGGAGCCAGCUGACUGUGGACUGAAACCUCCACACACUCUUCAACACAGGGCCUAAGCCCAAAUUUCUGGGCACCGCUGGAUGUCUCUGAGUGGAUUCUCCUUGGCAGACUCAACUCAACACGUCCUGCCCUGAAUUCACAGCAGUUCCCACACAGCUCUGCUGUCCUCUCCCUCCAUUCCUCCUCACCACCCUUCCAUCCCCACCUCUACUCUGCUACAACCGGUCACGAAAGUCCUCACUCACAAUGCUCCCAUGGCUCCCACUGUCCUUUGAAUGAAGUCCAAACUCCUCGGAGGCCCAACAGGGACUCUGCCCAUGUGUUCCACCUCCCCCUGCCCACCCCUCAACACAGGCUUUAAGCACAAGGAGCUGUCCAUAAUUCCCCAAGCACGUCUUAAAGUGUUCUAUGUCUUUCUCAUACUGAUACGAUCCCUACAGAACUAAAGUUCUCUCUUGAGGAUAAAAAAUCUCAAUGUAAAGCCCAUUGCAACACUUGCUUGUGGUACCAUCUACAAUGACAGCUAUAAUUCACUCUGCCCCUUUCCAUCCCAGCCCCCUAACCAGGGACAGUGAAGGGAGGGAGGGGUGCAGGCUUCUGGCUGUAGAUGACGGAAAGGAGAGAUGCUUGCAGCCUCCUGUGGCCUCACUUGCUGCCGGCACCUUUGUUGAGCCUCCUCGAAGAGAGACAUUUGCCCAUGCAUGAGUCCUUGCAGGUCCUGGGCACGUGACGAACACAAAGAUGAAGGUAUAGGCCCGCUCUCCUUGGCCAUGCCUAGGAGACAGUAGCAGCUGUACUCACAGGAAACAGCGAGGACUUCUGGGCUGGAGCCAGGCGAGUAGGACAAGGCAUUACCGCUCCCUGCAUGUGAACACAGACUGGGUGGACAGGGUCUUGGUUUUGUGCAGCUCUGUGUCUCAGCAUCCAGAGUGGUGUCCGACGUGGCAGGACUCGCUGCACGAUGCUGAAUGAAGACGGAGUGAAUUGCAAACACUGCAUGCAAGGAAGGGUGGGCUGGGUUUCUCUCUGUGAGCUUCCUGAGGGUGGGGCUGCUGUCUGCUCCCACGUUUACAGCCUGGCAUCGAGUUCAGCGUCUCUCGGGCACUCAGUCGGUGCUGGUGAUGCUGAGAGAUGUCCCAGCUGUGUUCUCCUCUUACCCUCCCCCGUGUCUGUAGUUAUUGGCCUUCCUAAAGAAAAUGUUCGUGCCAAGCUGACAGUGGUUUUAAAGAAAAACAUCUUUAAGCAACCCAGAAAAAAAGUCCUGGGGAUGGAAAACAAGUCAAAAGAAAAAGGCCAAGAAACAACAUUUUAAUGUCAUUAACUGAGGACCGGUUACCUUGACCAGUUUUUGAAUGAAAUGGAAAAGUGGACCAUGAUAUGUUGGACAGUUACACCAGGCUUGGAAGCGGCAGCUCUCUGCGUGUCAGAAUCACCUGCGGCCCGGCUGUCUGAGCCACUCCCCUGCUCCACACCCGGAAAACCUCCAGGAAGAGCGUCACAAGCAAGCGACCACUGUCCUUGCCCUGUUCAGCUUCCCAAGCAAGUAGGUGACCCAGACAGGAAGUGAGCAGAGAGGAAGCAGAAGGUGCGGCUGCAGGUGCAUUUCUAGCCCUCGGUGGGGUGCAGCUGCUCCUGCCAGUCCACACUCAAGGUGGCAUGUGUGCCCCACGCUUGAGUGUAUCUCACUCAAUUGCUGCCCUGGCUCAGGAACCACAUGCUUCCUUCUGCCUGGGUCCUGAAUGACUGCUGUCCCCAACUCCACUUAUCCCCAAGGUCACCACCCAGUGUCACUGGCACCCUGCACUGCCCCAUGAGAGUCGGAGAGACUUCUUCUCUGUGUGCCCUAACGACAGCAGGCACAGCUAGCCACUGCCGCAUAUGGGGAGCGUUAGGGGCCUUCCUGGGGAGAUGGGGCACCAGGCUAUGGCCCGUGAGGAAGGCGAGCCUUGCAGGGACACCGAGGUUGGUCCUCACCAAAGCAGUUAGGCUGGGGGGCACUUGCUGCCCCACCCCAGGCAAACUCUGCUCUGUUGGGCUCUUCUGGGGAAGCCCUGUUACCUCUACUUUCAGCCCCAUGCUGUUGGCACCUGGCACCCUCCAGGUCACCCUUGGUUCAAGAAGGUUCUCCCUUUUCCUCUUCUAUGUGUAUCUCUUUUUCUCUCCCAUCUUUUCUUGCAUAUUCCAACCGAAUAUUUAGUUUCCAGAGCAUCCCCAAAUACUAAAAUGAAAACCAUAGAAAUGAUGCUAUUCUGUGACUGCCCAGGUGUGUGCAUGCAUGCACGCCUGUCAUCUCAGCACCCAGGGAGGCUGAGGCAGGAGGAUCGCAAAUGGAAGCCCAGCCUGGGCAACUUAGCGAGACCCUGUCUCAAGAUAAAACUGAAAAGGACUGAGAAUGUAACUCAACACAAAGGCCCUGGGCUCCUCCCAGUGCCAGGGGAGGGCCCCGUGAGCAGAGAUGUAGAUGAUGCUCUCCAGUGUCCACACGGAAGCGUGUUCUUCCUUAUGGCUUCUGCUCUCAGGGCCCGGGCUCUGACCACCGACCUUCUGGGCCCGACCCCUGCACUACCUUUUGUCUGGCACAGGGUCCCAGGCAGGCUGUUUACCCUCCUCUGCUUUGGGCGUGUUUCAUGGCCGUGGUGAGACACAGACAGCAAAGGCCUCGUGACCAUGGACUCCACGUGCCGGUGGACUCCCAGGCCCGGGAGCAGUGCGUGGGCAGGACCACAGGGUGCAGUGGGCUGGGUGCGGGUUAUGGGAACGUGGAGAGGGCGGCAGCUGUGGCUGCUCUGCCCCAGUGAGCAGUGUCCCCAGCCUGGCACAGGGCUGUCCCUCGUCCUUCACACGGGCAGUAGCAGUGGUGGCCCUGAGCGUGGUGCCCCUAGGGAGGCUGGCUGUGGCUCUGGGUACCGCCUGUAGGAAGUAGCUCCCGGGGUGGUGAGGCCCCGGUCAGAGCUCAGGGACGCAGGAAACAAGGAGAACCAGGACGGCUCCCUGCUCCAGGCAUUGGGAGGCUCGGCUCCCACCUUCCCGGCUGCUCCUGCCUGCAGGCCCAGCCCCCGGCCCAUGGCCUGGGAAGGCCUUCCUCGCCUUCACCGCCUCCUGUCCUUGGAAGUUGUGCCUGGCGUGGCCCCCAGCCUCGCUCUGGGUCUGUCUCGGGCCUUUGCUGGGGACCUGCUGGCCCUCAGCCUUCACUGCUCACAUCCCCACGACGUGUGCGGUCACCCAGGCCCCUCCAGGGUCCCCCCUUUGCUCCCCAGUCUCACUUUCGCCUGUGACAAAGACGAAGGCUAAGUUUACAACUCUGAAUAGACAAUGAAGUCGCUGGAGACAGACGGUGGCCUCUGAGCCAGCACAGUGACAAACAGGCCAGCGGGGCCCGAGGAGCUCAUUACAACCAUCCCCACCCCGCCCUCCAGGCCUGUCCACGGGCCGAGGUGGCUCCGCACGGCCUGGGCUCACAGAGCGCCCUGUGCUCCACUGCGCAGAGGAGGAGGGACCCCUGCCCAGUCUCCGGCUCUCAGUGUCAGAUCGGGGUCCCUCCCAGUCCCCACACCUGGUUCCCUCUGCCAUGCUGUGAUGCCACCAGAGCCCCGUCUGGACUCGGCCCCUCUGCCCGGACUCACCAGACUCCAGGCAAAUUGCUUGUAGAACCUGUCUGUCCACAGCAGUCUCGCCCAGCGGGAAUGGAAGAGCCAGCCUGGGGGACCAGAGCCUAAGCUGGGGGGGAGUCUACUGCUGCGUUCCCAGCAUCGAGAUCCGUGCCCGGUUCAUAGCAGGAGCUCAGUUAAUAAACAUGGAAUAAAUACUACCGGCCACCCAAGGAGAGGUCCUCGACUGCACUAUAGUCCAGUGUGAGGGGGAGGCUGGGAGAUGCAUGCAGGCCACGCGUCCUGCAGAACCCAAGGCCCAGAGCAGUCACAGGACACUCGGGAUGGUGCUGGAGACAUCAUCAUCCAGCGUCCAGGGCAGACGACCCACGCCCUGGUCCUCCCCGUCCUCACCUGAAGAUGAGCAUGACCCCCUCUCCACUUCUGCUGUGAGAUGCUGCAUUAACAGAAGGAAGUUACCUGAGACAGUGCAUGCCCGAGCCCCCUGGCCAGGCCCCUUUCUGGAUCAGACUCGAAGACCAGCUCCAUUCAGCAAAAGGCCAGCGGGCUGGCAGGGAGUCUGGGAGCCAACACAGAGGGGAGCAGCUGUGCACGACCCACAGAAGAGAGGGUUCUGGGGACACUGAACCGGCCCACAUGGAGCCGAGCCACCUGGCUUUGUGGGAGGCCCAGGACAGAAUGCAGCUGGACGGGUUUGGGGGGUGGAUGGGGUCAGCAAAGGGAAGGCUAAGAGCCUCCUGGCAAACACAAGGGACUUUUCCAGGAUGACCGGAUAGGUUGGGUGACAGCUUCUGAGAAGUCGGACAGGUUGGUGCUGGAGGGACACGGGUGGCCCUUUUGGCCCCAACAUUCUUGGUAUAAGUGGGUUGCACUUCCGCUGAAGAUAAAUUCCAGUGACACUUACGAUAUACACCUCUUCUGGUUGUAAAAGCA